Molecule: long non-coding RNA, 166 nt
Organism: Lingula anatina
Lineage: Eukaryota; Metazoa; Brachiopoda; Lingulata; Lingulida; Lingulidae
Source: RefSeq, a predicted model, not a curated record
CGUGCCCCAAACUAAGACCUUGUCACGGCUGAAAGAAAAUAUAGAUAUAUUUGACUUCGAGCUCUCUGGAGAUGACAUGAAAAAGCUUGAGAAACUUAACCAGAACUUCCGGGUGAUAUGGCUGGAGAGUCUAAAACACAGCAAAAAUUAUCCAUUCCAUUCGUAA